Molecule: transfer RNA, 81 nt
Filed under: Paenibacillus aquistagni
Lineage: Bacteria; Bacillati; Bacillota; Bacilli; Caryophanales; Paenibacillaceae
Rfam family: tRNA
About the family: Transfer RNA (tRNA) molecules are approximately 80 nucleotides in length.
Source: Rfam by way of RNAcentral
GCCGGUGUGGCGGAAUGGCAGACGCGUUCGACUCAAAAUCGAAUGGAGAGAUCCGUGGAGGUUCGAGUCCUCUCACCGGUA